RNAcentral lists this ribosomal RNA (301 nucleotides) under uncultured bacterium. RNAcentral's name for it is "partial 16S ribosomal RNA". It matches the Rfam family "Bacterial small subunit ribosomal RNA", at positions 509 to 808 of the family's 1533-position model. The record is from RNAcentral.
CAGCAGCCGCGGGAAUACGGAGGGGGCUAGCGUUGUUCGGAAUUACUGGGCGUAAAGCGUACGUAGGCGGCUUUGUAAGUUAGAGGUGAAAGCCUGGUGCUCAACACCAGAACUGCCUUUAAGACUGCAUCGCUUGAACGUCGGAGAGGUGAGUGGAAUUCCGAGUGUAGAGGUGAAAUUCGUAGAUAUUCGGAAGAACACCAGUGGCGAAGGCGGCUCACUGGACGACUGUUGACGCUGAGGUACGAAAGCGUGGGGAGCAAACAGGAUUAGAUACCCCGUAGUCCCUGUCUCUUAUACA